UUGGAUUAGGCAUGCAAGUCGAGCGAGAAAGGGUCUUUCGGGAUCUUAGUAAAGCGGCGAAAGGGUGAGUAAUACCUGAAUAACCCUACCUCGAAGAGGGGAAUAACUCCUGGAAACGGGUGCUAAUACCUCAUGAGACCACGGGCUCAAGUAGCCUGCGGUUAAAGGUGGCCUCUGAUUUAAGCUAUCGCUUUGAGAGGGGUUCAGGUCCUAUUAGCUAGUUGGUGGGAUAAUAGCCUACCAAGGCGAUGAUGGGUAGCCGGGCUGAGAGGUUGUUCGGCCACACUGGGACUGAGACACUGCCCAGACUCCUUCGGGAGGCUGCAGUCGAGAAUCUUCCGCAAUGUGCGAAAGCGUGACGGAGCGACGCCGCGUGGAUGAUGGAGGCCUUCGGGUCGUAAAAUCCAAUCGCGUGGGAAGAAAUGGAAGAGGUUAACAACCUGCUUCCAAGACGUUACCAUGGUAGAAGUGCCGGCUAAACACGUGCCAGCAGCCGCGGUAAUACGUGUGGCGCAAGCGUUGUUCGGAAUCACUGGGCAUAAAGAGCGCGUAGGCGGUAUCGUAUGUCGGGUGUGAAAGCCCUCGGCUUAACCGAGGAAUUGCAUUCGAAACUGCGUUACUAGAGUAUGGAAAGGGGGAGUGGAAUUCCUGGUGGAGCGGUGAAAUGCGUAGAUAUCAGGAAGAACACCGGUGGCGAAGGCGACUCUCUGGUCCAUUACUGACGCUGAGGCGCGAAAGCUAGGGAAGCAAACAGGAUUAGAUACCCUGGUAGUCCUAGCUGUAAACGAUGGGCACUAAGUAGAGGGAAGGGCGAAUUCUGCAGAUAUCCAUCACACUGGCGGCCGCUCGAGCAUGCAUCUAGA
RNAcentral lists this ribosomal RNA (863 nucleotides) under uncultured Planctomycetota bacterium. Its description in RNAcentral is "bacterial SSU rRNA". It matches the Rfam family "Bacterial small subunit ribosomal RNA", at positions 44 to 865 of the family's 1533-position model. The record is from RNAcentral. Lineage: Bacteria; Pseudomonadati; Planctomycetota.